Molecule: long non-coding RNA, 1852 nt
Organism: Homo sapiens (human)
Lineage: Eukaryota; Metazoa; Chordata; Mammalia; Primates; Hominidae
Product: long intergenic non-protein coding RNA 904
Source: Ensembl
GGAGAAUGUUCAGGACUGUCGAGGCGCGCUCCGCACCUGGCCUGAAAGCGGGAGAUUUGGCAACCAGUGCGCGUGGGUGCGCCGGCCCUUGCAGCUGGGGACUCUGGAGGCAGACCUUGCCCAAAGCCAGAGGCAGGAACUCCCCAGAUCCUCCCAGGGUAGCAUGGGAGGAUGCCGCCUCCUCCAGGAAGCUCUCUAGCGCUUUUCCGAGUCCUGGAGCCAGGCGGGACUUCUCUGUGGUCGCCUAGAAGGGUAUGAACUUAGGGCAUCCCCAUCUGGGCUGUGAAGGUUUCUGACUUGGGGACCAGGUGCUCAGACCUUCCUGGAUGCUGCUUUCCACAAUAUCUCUACCAGGCAGGCAGGUUCUCUUCAUUUUGCAAAUUUGGUGAAACAGCAUUUGUAAAACUUUAGAAGCUUCCUUGGCUCACACAGGUGGUAGUGGCCCUGUCAGGAUUUGACCCAGGCUCUCGGAUUCCAGAGUUCCUGAAUUUAACCACCUGUACUGUGAUGCCUCCUUAUCAUGUGUGCAUCGUGCAUUACUAUUUUUUAUAGCCUGUAGGGUACUGAGCACCAUGCACACCUACAGUGAUCACAGGCACUGCCUACUGGAAGGUCUUCUUUGGCUGGGUUCCAGUUUCCUCAGACGAUGUAGGGCAGGGAGUUCCACUUGUUAGCAUAUCCCACAGGGCCUUUCUCUUCAAAUGGACCCCAGCAGCCAACCACACAGCUGCCUCAGCAAGCGUAGGAGAUGGCACAUCAGAGACCAACAAUUGUCAGCACAGCAAAACUGGGCAUUUCUUUUCUUACUGAGCUUUGCAGCUACCUACACAGUUGUGUGUGGCAUCUCCUCCUGGGUGCAAGGACAUGAGAUGACAUCAGGGUCUUGCUGUGUCAUCCAGGCUGGAGUGCAGUGAUAUGAGCAUGGCUCACUGCAGCCUCGACCUCCCAGCUUCAAGCAAUGCUCCCACCUUGGCCUCCCAAAGCGCUGGGAUUACAGGCAUGAGCCACCAUGCCUGGCCAUUGCCAUUGCAGUAAGUUUUGAAAUCACUUCAGCUGGUUCUCCUGAACCUUGAAUUAUCUUAGGAAAGAUUGUAUUUUCAGGAAUUAAGUCUAUUGGAGACACAGCAGGACUCCACAGCCAGCUAGAUUUGGAUAAAAUGUAGACUGCCUCAAGGCCAGUGUGUUGACUUCUGACCAGUCUCAUCUGAACCCACACCCUUUAACAUAUAUACAAAACACCUGAAGGGUUGGGCUGCCAGCUUUCUUUAGGAUGAUAGAGGGCAGGUUAAGUUUGUUUGACAUAACUAGAAGAGGUGGAGCCUCUUCCUAAUGGAGCAAGGUCCAUUUAUGGCAAACUGUGGUCCCCCACCACUAUCAGCUACUUCUGGAUAGCUUUUGCUUAAAGUUGAUGAGAUAUUGUUUCUUUCACUAGAAGAAAAUGAAUGAGUUGGUGAUCCCAAACUUUGGCCUCCAAAGGAAGCCUGGGCAGGUGACAAAUGUGUCCUAAGCGAGACUGCUGCUUCCAUGCUCAUGCUGGAGGUACAUUUGCCCUGAAAGAUGGAGCAAAAGUGCUGAAGCUUAGCACAGAGGAUUAAUGAAUAAGAACAAGGCUAUGUUAUAUCAUAUUUGUAUAGCAAUCUGGAAAAGAAAGAACGGGGCUUGUUAAGGCAAAUGGGCAAGACAAAACGGGAUAUCUAUAGGCAGCAAGGGGUCCUGCCAGUCUAAGACUAAUGGAAAACUGGCCCAUAGCCAGGUAUUUUCUCAAUGGUGUUCACUACACCAAGUCAGAGGGCUACUUUGUCUAGAUAGAGCCCAGGUAUUGUGAGUGAGUGCAGGAAUAGAAGUGUCUUCC